Molecule: long non-coding RNA, 458 nt
Filed under: Mytilus galloprovincialis (Mediterranean mussel)
Lineage: Eukaryota; Metazoa; Mollusca; Bivalvia; Mytilida; Mytilidae
Source: RNAcentral
GACCUCGUGUGACUCUAUUUUAUUAAUGAAGUCUUUUGUAUCUUGAAUGUAAAAGUUAUGCCUCUUCAAUAAUGGUUUUAAGAUUAGACCCAGUAAUCUUUCAAUGCGUCUCGUGGGAGAGUUACACUUAUUGAUGAUUGGUCGGUAAGGAAUGUUUAUGUUUCCAACUAUUUGACCAGUUCGGAAUGCCUCAUUAAUUAUUUCUAGAUUAAUUUUAUGAACUUUUGGAAGAAGGUACAUGUGUCCGUGUUUUGAUUCAUUAUUAUUCCUCAAGAAAUUAUAAGUUUGUGAAUCUAUUUCUUUUUUCCUAUAUAGAUUUUCAACAAUAUCUUUUAUAGAUUUGACAACAACGUUAGUAGUUGGUUCAUUUAUUUUCAACUUUUAUUAAAUGCGGUUCCUUCAACCAACAUACGUAAUGAAUCUCAAGACUUAUAUAUUUUAUUGAGACCAUAAUUAUU